CUGAUUUGCUUAAUUGCACCACAUGUGUUUUUCUUUGAAACAAACUUGCUUUGGCGGUGGGCCCAGCCUGCCGCCAGAGGUCUAAACUUACAACCAAUUUUUUAUUAACUUGUCACACCAGAUUAUUACUAAAUAGUCAAAACUUUCAACAACGGAUCUCUUGGUUCUCGCAUCGAUGAAGAACGCAGCGAAAUGCGAUACGUAAUAUGAAUUGCAGAUAUUCGUGAAUCAUCGAAUCUUUGAACGCACAUUGCGCCCUCUGGUAUUCCGGAGGGCAUGCCUGUUUGAGCGUCGUUUCUCCCUCAAACCGCUGGGUUUGGUGUUGAGCAAUACGACUUGGGUUUGCUUGAAAGACGGUAGUGGUAAGGCGGGAUCGCUUUGACAAUGGCUUAGGUCUAACCAAAAACAUUGCUUGCGGCGGUAACGUCUACCACGUAUAUCUUCAAACUUUGACCUCAAAUCAGGU
This 466-nucleotide unclassified non-coding RNA is filed under the name Candida albicans. Its description in RNAcentral is "sequence contains 18S rRNA gene, ITS1, 5.8S rRNA gene, ITS2, 28S rRNA gene". The stretch from base 141 to 294 matches the Rfam family "5.8S ribosomal RNA". Lineage: Eukaryota; Fungi; Ascomycota; Pichiomycetes; Serinales; Debaryomycetaceae. The record is from RNAcentral.